ACUAUCGUUAACUGAAUACAUAGGUUAACGAGGCGAACCGGGGGAACUGAAACAUCUAAGUACCCCGAGGAAAAGAAAUCAACCGAGAUUCCCCCAGUAGCGGCGAGCGAACGGGGAGCAGCCCAGAGUCUGAAUCAGCUUGUGUGUUAGUGGAACGGUCUGGAAAGUCCGACGGUACAGGGUGAUAGUCCCGUACACCAAAAUGCACAGGCUGUGAACUCGAAGAGUAGGGCGGGACACGUGGUAUCCUGUCUGAAUAUGGGGGGACCAUCCUCCAAGGCUAAAUACUCCUGACUGACCGAUAGUGAACCAGUACCGUGAGGGAAAGGCGAAAAGAACCCCGGCGAGGGGAGUGAAAAAGAACCUGAAACCGUGUACGUACAAGCAGUGGGAGCACCUUCGGGUGUGACUGCGUACCUUUUGUAUAAUGGGUCAGCGACUUAUAUUCUGUAGCAAGGUUAACCGUAUAGGGGAGCCGCAGGGAAACCGAGUCUUAACUGGGCGUUAAGUUGCAGGGUAUAGACCCGAAACCCGGUGAUCUAGCCAUGGGCAGGUUGAAGGUUGGGUAACACUAACUGGAGGACCGAACCGACUAAUGUUGAAAAAUUAGCGGAUGACUUGUGGCUGGGGGUGAAAGGCCAAUCAAACCGGGAGAUAGCUGGUUCUCCCCGAAAGCUAUUUAGGUAGCGCCUCGUGAAUUCAUCUUCGGGGGUAGAGCACUGUUUCGGCUAGGGGGUCAUCCCGACUUACCAACCCGAUGCAAACUACGAAUACCGAAGAAUGUUAUCACGGGAGACACACGGCGGGUGCUAACGUCCGUCGUGAAGAGGGAAACAACCCAGACCGCCAGCUAAGGUCCCAAAGUCAUGGUUAAGUGGGAAACGAUGUGGGAAGGCACAGACAGCCAGGAUGUUGGCUUAGAAGCAGCCAUCAUUUAAAGAAAGCGUAAUAGCUCACUGGUCGAGUCGGCCUGCGCGGAAGAUGUAACGGGGCUAAACCAUGCACCGAAGCUGCGGCAGCGACACUAUGUGUUGUUGGGUAGGGGAGCGUUCUGUAAGCCUGCGAAGGUGACCUGUGAGGGUUGCUGGAGGUAUCAGAAGUGCGAAUGCUGACAUAAGUAACGAUAAAGCGGGUGAAAAGCCCGCUCGCCGGAAGACCAAGGGUUCCUGUCCAACGUUAAUCGGGGCAGGGUGAGUCGACCCCUAAGGCGAGGCCGAAAGGCGUAGUCGAUGGGAAACAGGUUAAUAUUCCUGUACUUGGUGUUACUGCGAAGGGGGGACGGAGAAGGCUAUGUUAGCCGGGCGACGGUUGUCCCGGUUUAAGCAUGUAGGCUGGUUGUCCAGGCAAAUCCGGAUAAUCAAGGCUGAGGUGUGAUGACGAGGUACUACGGUGCUGAAGUAACAAAUGCCCUGCUUCCAGGAAAAGCCUCUAAGCAUCAGGUAACAUCAAAUCGUACCCCAAACCGACACAGGUGGUCAGGUAGAGAAUACCAAGGCGCUUGAGAGAACUCGGGUGAAGGAACUAGGCAAAAUGGUGCCGUAACUUCGGGAGAAGGCACGCUGGUGUGUAGGUGAAGUCCCUGCGGAUGGAGCUGAGACCAGUCGAAGAUACCAGCUGGCUGCAACUGUUUAUUAAAAACACAGCACUGUGCAAACACGAAAGUGGACGUAUACGGUGUGACGCCUGCCCGGUGCCGGAAGGUUAAUUGAUGGGGUUAUCCGUAAGGAGAAGCUCUUGAUCGAAGCCCCGGUAAACGGCGGCCGUAACUAUAACGGUCCUAAGGUAGCGAAAUUCCUUGUCGGGUAAGUUCCGACCUGCACGAAUGGCGUAAUGAUGGCCAGGCUGUCUCCACCCGAGACUCAGUGAAAUUGAACUCGCUGUGAAGAUGCAGUGUACCCGCGGCAAGACGGAAAGACCCCGUGAACCUUUACUAUAGCUUGACACUGAACAUUGAGCCUUGAUGUGUAGGAUAGGUGGGAGGCUUUGAAGCGUGGACGCCAGUCUGCGUGGAGCCAACCUUGAAAUACCACCCUUUAAUGUUUGAUGUUCUAACGUUGGCCCCUUAUCGGGGUUGCGGACAGUGUCUGGUGGGUAGUUUGACUGGGGCGGUCUCCUCCCAAAGCGUAACGGAGGAGCACGAAGGUUAGCUAAUCCUGGUCGGACAUCAGGAGGUUAGUGCAAUGGCAUAAGCUAGCUUGACUGCGAGCGUGACGGCGCGAGCAGGUGCGAAAGCAGGUCAUAGUGAUCCGGUGGUUCUGAAUGGAAGGGCCAUCGCUCAACGGAUAAAAGGUACUCCGGGGAUAACAGGCUGAUACCGCCCAAGAGUUCAUAUCGACGGCGGUGUUUGGCACCUCGAUGUCGGCUCAUCACAUCCUGGGGCUGAAGUAGGUCCCAAGGGUAUGGCUGUUCGCCAUUUAAAGUGGUACGCGAGCUGGGUUUAGAACGUCGUGAGACAGUUCGGUCCCUAUCUGCCGUGGGCGCUGGAGAAUUGAGGGGGGCUGCUCCUAGUACGAGAGGACCGGAGUGGACGCAUCACUGGUGUUCGGGUUGUCAUGCCAAUGGCACUGCCCGGUAGCUAAAUGCGGAAGAGAUAAGUGCUGAAAGCAUCUAAGCACGAAACUUGCCCCGAGAUGAGUUCU
Molecule: ribosomal RNA, 2639 nt
Filed under: Klebsiella pneumoniae
Lineage: Bacteria; Pseudomonadati; Pseudomonadota; Gammaproteobacteria; Enterobacterales; Enterobacteriaceae
Description: bacterial LSU rRNA
Rfam family: Bacterial large subunit ribosomal RNA
Source: RNAcentral